RNAcentral lists this ribosomal RNA (2284 nucleotides) under Acinetobacter pittii. RNAcentral describes it as "bacterial LSU rRNA". It matches the Rfam family "Bacterial large subunit ribosomal RNA", at positions 678 to 2925 of the family's 2925-position model. Lineage: Bacteria; Pseudomonadati; Pseudomonadota; Gammaproteobacteria; Moraxellales; Moraxellaceae. The record is from RNAcentral.
CGAGUCUUAAUAGGGCGUUUAGUUGCUGGGUAUAGACCCGAAACCAGGCGAUCUAUCCAUGAGCAGGUUGAAGGUUGGGUAACACUAACUGGAGGACCGAACCCACUGUCGUUGAAAAGCCAGGGGAUGACUUGUGGAUAGGGGUGAAAGGCUAAUCAAGCCUGGUGAUAGCUGGUUCUCCCCGAAAGCUAUUUAGGUAGCGCCUCGGACGAAUACCAUAGGGGGUAGAGCACUGUUUCGGCUAGGGGGUCAUCCCGACUUACCAAACCGAUGCAAACUCCGAAUACCUAUGAGUACUAUCCGGGAGACAGACUGCGGGUGCUAACGUCCGUAGUCAAGAGGAAAACAAUCCAGACCGCCAGCUAAGGCCCCAAAAUCAUAGUUAAGUGGGAAACGAUGUGGGAAGGCAUAGACAGCUAGGAGGUUGGCUUAGAAGCAGCCACCCUUUAAAGAAAGCGUAAUAGCUCACUAGUCGAGUCGGCCUGCGCGGAAGAUGUAACGGGGCUAAAACUAUGUGCCGAAGCUGCGGAUUUGACAUUAGUCAAGUGGUAGGGGAGCGUUCUGUAAGCCGAUGAAGGUGUAUUGAGAAGUAUGCUGGAGGUAUCAGAAGUGCGAAUGCUGACGUGAGUAACGACAAAACGGGUGAAAAACCCGUUCGCCGAAAGACCAAGGGUUCCAGUCCAACGUUAAUCGGGGCUGGGUGAGUCGACCCCUAAGGCGAGGCCGAAAGGCGUAGUCGAUGGGAAAUUGGUUAAUAUUCCAAUACUUCUGUGUAAUGCGAUGAGAGGACGGAGAAGGUUAAGUCAGCCUGGCGUUGGUUGUCCAGGUGGAAGGAUGUAGGUAUGUAUCUUAGGCAAAUCCGGGGUACUCUAUACUGAGAUCCGAUAGCAAGCUGUACUUGUACAGUGAAGUGGCUGAUACCAUGCUUCCAGGAAAAGUCUCUAAGCUUCAGUUACACAGGAAUCGUACCCGAAACCGACACAGGUGGUCAGGUCGAGUAGACCAAGGCGCUUGAGAGAACUCUGCUGAAGGAACUAGGCAAAAUGGUACCGUAACUUCGGGAGAAGGUACGCUGUUGUUGGUGAUGGAACUUGCUUCCUGAGCUGACGACAGCCGCAGAAACCAGGCCGCUGCAACUGUUUAUUAAAAACAUAGCACUCUGCAAACACGAAAGUGGACGUAUAGGGUGUGAUGCCUGCCCGGUGCUGGAAGGUUAAUUGAUGGGGUUAGCGUAAGCGAAGCUCUUGAUCGAAGCCCCAGUAAACGGCGGCCGUAACUAUAACGGUCCUAAGGUAGCGAAAUUCCUUGUCGGGUAAGUUCCGACCUGCACGAAUGGCAUAAUGAUGGCGGCGCUGUCUCCAGCAGAGGCUCAGUGAAAUCGAAAUCGCUGUGAAGAUGCAGUGUACCCGCGGCUAGACGGAAAGACCCCGUGAACCUUUACUGCAGCUUGACACUGAACUUUGACCUUACUUGUGUAGGAUAGGUGGGAGGCUUUGAAGUUGGAACGCUAGUUCCAAUGGAGCCGUCCUUGAAAUACCACCCUGGUAAUGUUGAGGUUCUAACUCUGUCCCGUUAUCCGGGACGAGGACCGUGUCUGGUGGGUAGUUUGACUGGGGCGGUCUCCUCCUAAAGAGUAACGGAGGAGUACGAAGGUGCGCUCAGCGUGGUCGGAAAUCACGCGUAGAGUAUAAAGGCAAAAGCGCGCUUAACUGCGAGACCCACAAGUCGAGCAGGUACGAAAGUAGGUCUUAGUGAUCCGGUGGUUCUGUAUGGAAGGGCCAUCGCUCAACGGAUAAAAGGUACUCUGGGGAUAACAGGCUGAUACCGCCCAAGAGUUCAUAUCGACGGCGGUGUUUGGCACCUCGAUGUCGGCUCAUCUCAUCCUGGGGCUGAAGCAGGUCCCAAGGGUAUGGCUGUUCGCCAUUUAAAGAGGUACGCGAGCUGGGUUUAGAACGUCGUGAGACAGUUCGGUCCCUAUCUACCGUGGGCGCUGGAAAUUUGAGAGGAUCUGCUCCUAGUACGAGAGGACCAGAGUGGACGAACCUCUGGUGUACCGGUUGUGACGCCAGUCGCAUCGCCGGGUAGCUAUGUUCGGAAGGGAUAACCGCUGAAAGCAUCUAAGCGGGAAGCCUACCUCAAGAUAAGAUUUCCCUAGGAAUUUAUUCCUCUAAAGAGCCGUUCGAGACUAGGACGUUGAUAGGUUGGAUGUGGAAGCAUAGUGAUAUGUGAAGCUGACCAAUACUAAUUGCUCGUGAGGCUUGACUAUACAACACCCAAGCAGUUG